Molecule: ribosomal RNA, 529 nt
Filed under: Fusarium solani
Lineage: Eukaryota; Fungi; Ascomycota; Sordariomycetes; Hypocreales; Nectriaceae
Description: eukaryotic LSU rRNA
Rfam family: 5.8S ribosomal RNA (bases 151-304)
Source: RNAcentral
GGCUGCGAGCUGCGCUCAUCACCCUGUGACAUACCUAUAACGUUGCCUCGGCGGGAACAGACGGCCCCGUAACACGGGCCGCCCCCGCCAGAGGACCCCCUAACUCUGUUUCUAUAAUGUUUCUUCUGAGUAAACAAGCAAAUAAAUUAAAACUUUCAACAACGGAUCUCUUGGCUCUGGCAUCGAUGAAGAACGCAGCGAAAUGCGAUAAGUAAUGUGAAUUGCAGAAUUCAGUGAAUCAUCGAAUCUUUGAACGCACAUUGCGCCCGCCAGUAUUCUGGCGGGCAUGCCUGUUCGAGCGUCAUUACAACCCUCAGGCCCCCGGGCCUGGCGUUGGGGAUCGGCGGAAGCCCCCUGCGGGCACAACGCCGUCCCCCAAAUACAGUGGCGGUCCCGCCGCAGCUUCCAUUGCGUAGUAGCUAACACCUCGCAACUGGAGAGCGGCGCGGCCACGCCGUAAAACACCCAACUUCUGAAUGUUGACCUCGAAUCAGGUAGGAAUACCCGCUGAACUUAAGCAUAUCAAAAA